Molecule: long non-coding RNA, 849 nt
Organism: Zingiber officinale
Lineage: Eukaryota; Viridiplantae; Streptophyta; Magnoliopsida; Zingiberales; Zingiberaceae
Exons: 3
Source: RefSeq, a predicted model, not a curated record
UGAUCUUUUCUAGGGCUGAUUCGGGUGGUUUUCCUUGGGAAGCAGAGAUUGGUGUCUUGUUUCUGGCCACCACAGCUGGACUAGAUCAACUCCUCCACCGGAUCUGUGAUCGUACUCUAGCCAAGAUCCUGAGAGAAGCAGAGCUUGUGUUGUGAUUCCGGCCACUACAGCUCUGGUGGGGAUUGCUCUUCUUCCUCAGAUCUGUGGUUUGCUCCGGCGAUCAAGAAGAGGUGUUGGAAGCUUCUUUUAUGUGCGGUUCCAGUGGAGCUAAUUACGGUGGAUUGUGUGGAGCAACAUUGGUUAACAGAGGACCUUGAUUGACGACGAGUUGCGCGACGUGGUGGUUCUGUUGAUUUCGGGAUAUAUCGAGGCGGGUAUUUCUUCCUAAAUUUCUAUUUAGCUCCUUGAACUUUAAAGCAUGGUUAUAUGUUUUUGGAUAUUUAGGUUGCAUUCCUUAAAUCUUAUUAUUUGUUGCUUUCCUACUUGUCUCUUUUGCUUGAUCUUUGAUAUGAUCUGGGUUGCUUCGUUACAGUCUCUAUUCUUGUUAUUUGUGACUCUAUUGUUUAUACACAUGUAGAGUGUUGUAGGGAGGACUGUAUUGGAUAUUUGUGGGCUAUACCUGUCUAGGUUGUGAUUGGUAUGGGUUAUAGGUCCUACAGGUUUACCAUUCCAUUUGCAUAGUGGUAUGUGUAGUUACGUCUGUUGUGGUUAUUGGAGGCGUUUAUGAGGGGGAAGGUUGUUGCAUGGAUGAUGAUUAUAUAUAUGUAUAUCAUGCUCAUCAUUCAUUGCAUCUGAUGACCGUUGUCUCCCUUGUGGUUGAGAAGGUCAUCAGUUGGUUUGGUUUAGCGC